UCUUUCCCACCACAAGGUGAGCUUGCUGGUGCUCCCCCAGAGCCUCCUUCUCCCUUUCUUUCACAAAACAAUCAUGGUGCCUUCGCUUCCUCUUCAGAGUGGGAUGGGGUGAGGAUUUGGAGCCCGAGACCUCUGUGCACAGUAUCCCGGCGAGUGUCGAAGUCACACAUGCAGACCUGACCCACUGGGGGCCUGGGAUUUGACAUUUGACAGUCGUGCAUUGCUUAAUUUCAGGAAAUUGCCUAAUGAGAAAUGUAUGCAUUGUCAUUGUGCAAAUAUCACAGUAUGUACAUACACAAACUGGGACGCUGGAGCAUCACCAAGCUGUGGAAUCGUAUGAGACCAGCAUCACAUAUUCAGAAAUGUUGUCAAGGAGGCAUGGCUGUAUAUGCAUUUGCACGAACGCAGUACUGCUGACCAGAAUGUGAAGGAGGUGAGUGUGAGGAGGCAAGAGGUGUCAUUCUGCCAUGGCCAACUUCAGUCCUUGGAAAUAGUUGACUUCUGUGUUCAGUGACAUGUGCUGGGUAAAUUCAGCUGCUGUUACUCACACUGUGC
Molecule: long non-coding RNA, 555 nt
Filed under: Marmota monax (woodchuck)
Lineage: Eukaryota; Metazoa; Chordata; Mammalia; Rodentia; Sciuridae
Source: RNAcentral